GAUCAUGGCUCAGGAUGAACGCUAGCGACAGGCUUAACACAUGCAAGUCGAGGGGCAGCACAGGUAGCAAUACCGGAUGGCGACAGGCGCACGGGUGAGUAACGCGUAUGCAACUUGCCUAUCAGAGGGGGAUAACCCGGCGAAAGUCGGACUAAUACCGCAUGAAGCAGGGGCCCCGCAUGGGGAUAUUUGCUAAAGAUUCAUCGCUGAUAGAUAGGC
RNAcentral lists this ribosomal RNA (219 nucleotides) under uncultured bacterium. Its description in RNAcentral is "partial 16S ribosomal RNA". It matches the Rfam family "Bacterial small subunit ribosomal RNA", at positions 15 to 230 of the family's 1533-position model. The record is from RNAcentral.